This 145-nucleotide ribosomal RNA is filed under the name uncultured bacterium. RNAcentral's name for it is "partial 16S ribosomal RNA". It matches the Rfam family "Bacterial small subunit ribosomal RNA", at positions 384 to 526 of the family's 1533-position model. The record is from RNAcentral.
UGAACCAGCCAAGUAGCGUGCAGGAAGACGGCCCUAUGGGUUGUAAACUGCUUUUAUAAGGGAAUAAAGUUAGUCUCGUGAGACUUUUUGCAUGUACCUUAUGAAUAAGGACCGGCUAAUUCCGUGCCAGCAGCCGCGGUAAUAA